UGGUGGAGUGAUUUGUCUGGUUAAUUCCGUUAACGAACGAGACCUUAGCCUGCUAACUAGUCGAACCAAUCUCGAUUGGUUGCGACUUCUUAGAGGGACUUUGUGUUCCAAGCACAAGGAAGUUUGAGGCAAUAACA
RNAcentral lists this ribosomal RNA (137 nucleotides) under uncultured eukaryote. RNAcentral's name for it is "partial 18S ribosomal RNA". It matches the Rfam family "Eukaryotic small subunit ribosomal RNA", at positions 1299 to 1458 of the family's 1831-position model. The record is from RNAcentral.